Molecule: non-coding RNA, 18559 nt
Organism: Monodelphis domestica (gray short-tailed opossum)
Lineage: Eukaryota; Metazoa; Chordata; Mammalia; Didelphimorphia; Didelphidae
Source: RefSeq, a predicted model, not a curated record
GUUUAACCAUAUUAGUUAAUUACUGUUAAACUGAUUAAUUCAAUUAACUUGUCUGAAUCCAAAUUGUAGUUUUUUAUUGCAGAUUGUAGUUUAUUAUAAUUUCAUGCCAUGUAUCCUUGGGCAAGCUCAUUGCUACACGGUAAGCCUUGUAUUCAUCUUUUAUUGAUUCCCAAUAGCAUUCUCUACACCACCUUCCAGUAAUUGUACCAAAACUUAUCCAUUCUCCAGUCUUCAACCUGACCUUUACCUCCCAUGAUCUCCACAAAUGGCCUCACCUCCUACUUUCCCGAGAUCAGUCCAUUCAUCAUGAGUUCCCUUAAGUCUUAUCACAGGAUCAUGGGAUUUGGAGAUGGAUAGAACCUUUAAAAAUCAUUGAUUCUGGCCUUUUCAUUUUAUAGAUAAAGCCCAGAAAAGUUAAGCUUACUCAAGGUCACACAGGAAAUAAGUAGAAAACCUGGUCCAUCUGAUUCCAAAUCUGUCUUUUUUUUUUUCAUGAUAUUCUUCCAUACUUGAAUCUUUACCCUUACUGUCCUUUCUUUCCUGUCUCAGUGAAAGAGAUUGCUCUCCUUGUUAAGGCCAAUCUCUCUCCCUUGGCAUUGGCACCUAUUGAAUUGUAUGGAGUUGGAUUGAAUUGAAUAGACAACCUUAAACCAAAUCAAGAGUUUGUACAAAAAGCUAAAGUAUUGGAAGGGAAGAGUCUCAAUUAUGUGAGAUUAAUUCCAUCUCACUAUAAAAAUAUAAGUUGCUAUUAAAUUUGGACUCUGGCAUUGUAAUCUUUAUGAAAUCAUUCUCGUGAGGAUUUCAACAUGGCAGACCCACAUCUCAAUAUAAAUUGAAUAUCGGGAGUUGUUCUUUUCCAUUUGGCAGCUAUUGAUUUCCUCUCUCCACUGGUGUUGAAUUGAAGCUACUGCCUUGGGAUAGUGACUCCAAUGAAUCUAAUUCUUUAUCAUCUUCAAACAUCUUGGCUCAGACCUCUGUCUCAUUGAUUGGUGACAGCAGAGUUCCAAGAAUGGAGGUAGUAUGUAUAUGUGCAUGUGUGUGUGCGUGUGUGUGUUUAAAAUGUACCUCCUUGGCUUAGAUUAGAAAAGGAAAUUUUAUUUUUUAUGUGCCCCCCCAAAAAAGUGGCAAAAUUGUAUUAAUUCAGUUUCUAUAUGGUAAAACCUCGUAGCUUCAGAGCUUUCUAGCACAGAAUUAGUGGGAAUUCAGACAAGUACUGGCUGAUAUUUCCCUCUGUUUCAUCAACUCAUUCUUCAUGUUUAAGAGGAAAUUACCAAGAUAAACAAGAUAGUAAAAGAGCAGUAUUUAAAACUGUCAAAAGAACAAACCAUUUCCAAGAACUUAUUUUUUUAUAAAAAGAGAUCUGCUUAUUAGUUGAAAUCUUCCCUUAUCCUUGAAGUAAGUUCUCUAAAUUUCACUAAUGGCCAUAAUAGUCACUGAUACUUCCACAGCACUUCAAAAAGUUGCAGAACUCUUCAUGGGAACUCUCAAAGGUAGGUGAUGAAAGUAUUAUUUAUUCAUAUUUAUAGAUAAGGGAAACUGAGGCUCUAUGAGGCUAUAAAUGAUUGAGAUUCAAAGCCUUGUAUAUUCUCACUUUUACCACUGUUCGUAUGGUAGAGGAGAUAGAGUAUGAGGUUUGGAGUCAGGAAGACAUGAGUUCAAAUGUAGCCUCAUCUCCCUUCCUAGACAUGCAGUACUGCUAGUCAUUUAAUUGCUCUUUGCUUCAAUUUCUUAUCUGCAAAAUGGGGACAAUAAGAGCACUUACCUCACAGGGCUGUUACAUAUAAAAAGUGCUUUGUGAGCCUUAAGAAUCUAUUGAAUGUCAACUCUAUUGAGCCUUGCCUACCUAUGCAGAUUUUGUAUUACCUGAAAGUUUUAAAAGUAUAUUUUUGUUUAAAUAUAUUUCACUCAUUUGGAUGGACUUUCUCUCUAAUCUAUAUUAGUAACAUCUGUCUGUAUUUUUGAUGUGAGCUUUUAUUUUUCUCCAUGGAUUUUCACAGUAUCCAAGUAAUGAUAGGAACUAAAAUUUAUAACAAGAUUUGUAAAGUACUUUACAUGGAUUGAUUACUAAACAUUUAUCGGGUGUCUAAUAUGUACACUAUUCUAGGUGCUGGGGAUACAAAAAGAGGUAAAAGAAAGUCCCUGCCCAAAAGGAGCUUACCUCCUUACCUCAUCUGAUUUUUAAAACAACCCUGGGAAGAAGGUACUAUUGUUAUCUCGUUUUUUUACACAUGAGGAAACUGAGGUUGUGAAGAGUUAAGUGAUUUGCCCACAAAACUAGCAAAUGUUGGAAUUCAGUACUCUGUCUCCUAAGCCAGAAUGUACCUGCAGGCAAAUUUAAUUAGUUAUCUAAAGGAAUUUAGUAAAAUAGCUUAACAUUUUUUGGGGGGGAUUUCUAAUUAUCAAAUACUCAAAUACUGAAUUUAGUGGUCUAUUUUAAAUGUUUUUUUUUUAAUAUUAAGAAUUCAAUCUAGAGUACAUGAAAAUUCAAGGUUUAAACUGGAGUUUUGUCCUCCAAUCACUUGUCCUGUCCUUAAUUCGCUGUCCUGAGAUAGCCUCAAGGGGACAGUUCAGUUUAUGUGAACCCUAGAAUCAGUGACCUCAAGAGUUCCUGUCAUUCCCAACACUUGAGAACAUAUGGUCUCCUAGACCCACCUGCCCUCCAAUGAUCCCAUAAUCACCUGGUCCCACAAGGUGAGUUAAGAGUCUGCUGAAAACUCGAAGCAUUCCUACUUUUUCUCUUUUCUCCCAAGUCUUUUCUGCAGAGGCAAUUUGCUUGGACACUGUGUCUCAGUUCAAAGGCUAUCUGGUGCUCUCUUAAUUCCAAGCCUAAAGUAAUCAUUGCAAUUCUGAUUUCAGAUGUGGAAAUAAUUGACGAGAAAAGCCUGCCUAAUAAUAAGAUAAGUGUUAUGCAAUGAUGCUUAGCAAAGCAAAAUGGAGAGUCAGCUGAUAAAUGAGAGUUACUUUGGGAUGUCUUAUCAACCUUUCUUUGACUUCGUUUUAUUAAGUCUGAGUUUUUGGAAGCAGAAUUGGCCCUAAACAUAGGCAAAAUAGGCAACUGUCCUUUUGAUGAAUUUUUUCUUAAAAGUUUACUUGUCCCUACUCAUGACAACUCACUUAACCUGUCUGUGUCUCAAUUUCUCCAUCUGUAAAAUGAGGGAAUUGGACUUGAUGGCCUCUAGCUCUCAAUCUAUGAUCCUGUGAAAUCAUUCUCUCCACUGAUUUCCUCUGAGAUUAGGCAUUGGGCUUCUAGAAAUCCCCUGCCAAAAUACAACUCUUAUAUGAGUGAGAUAACACAUCAAGCCAUAAGGUGCCAUGGCUUCAUUAGUCAGAGCAAACUUGUCAGAUUAGUUGGUCGUUACUGCAGAAAGCAAAGAUCAGAGCUCUAGGUAUAUAUAAUAUGUUCUAGGUAAAUUCUAAAUAGGAGGAAGCCUUUUACACUAACCUACUAACUGAUCUUGUAAUGAGUUCAUAUUAGAAGGAGAGGAAGGCAUCUUUUAAAAACCUACUAUGUGUCAGUUACUAUGCUAAGCACUUUACAAAUAUUGUCUUAUUUGAUCCUCAUGACAACUUUGUGGGAGUAGGUGCUAUUAUUAGUAUCCCAAUUUUCCAUUUGAGGUAAUAGAGACAGUCAGAGGUUUUGACUUGCCCAGGUCUAUACAACUGGCAAGUGUCAAGAUUUGAACUUGGGUCUUCCUCAGAUCAGGACCAGCUCUACCAUUAUUGUACCAUCCAGGUGACUUUUCAUCUCAGGUAACAUAGGCUUCUGGAGACAAUACUUUAAUUUUGUUCCUUUGGUUUUCCUUAUAUCUUUGCCCUUUAAAAUUCUACUUCUGUUAACCUAAUUUUCAGAGAAUUAACUUACAUAAAAUAUCUGACAUUUGUUCUAAGUUCUCUGGGCUCAGAUUUAACCUAUUUCUUCCUUACUCAAAUACUCAAAAGGAUCGGUGAUCUCACUGAUGGAAGAGUUCUCACCAGCAACGGAGAUUGUAACUCAUUUUUUGCCUAUGCAUUUGGUAUAGUUCUUGUCGAUAUUUUCUCAAAAGAUCACAUAGGAGCCUCCUCAAGGCUUGAAGCCUUCCUUAUUUUCUUCUUUUCCAAGGCUGUUAGUAGAGCCCUCUAGCUACCCACCUAUUGUCUUUGUUCUUUCUAUCUUUUCUUUUCUGCCAUCAUCUAUUCCUGAGAUAAAAUUCUUAGAUGAUAUUCUUAAAAAAAAAAUAAACCCUGACCUUAUGUCUUGGAAUCAAUACCGUGUAUUGGUUCCAAGGCAAAAGAAUGGUAAGGGCUAGGCAAUGGGGAUUAAGUGACUUGCUCAGGUCACAUAGCUGGGAAGUAUCUGAGGUCAGAUUUGAACUUAGGAUCUCCUGUCUCUAGACCUGGCUAUCAAUCCACUGACCUAACCAGAUGCCCCCUGAUGAUAUUCUUUAUUCCUGUUCUUCAGAGUCCCUCAAGUGUUGCAGCCUGCUAAUACCUUCCAUGCCCCUCUCCAUUGUCAUCUUUGUGGUGUCCAUCUUUUUUGGAGGCAGUGGCAUAUCUGGGGCAGUUAGUGCAGUGAAUGAAGUAUCAGAUCUGGAAUCAUAAAGAUCUGAAUUCAAAUCCUGCCUCCAAAAAUUACUAGUUGUGUGACCCUCAGCAAGUCACUUACCCUGUUUGCCUCAGUUUCCUUAAGUUAUCCAUCCAAAUGCACAUUGAAAACUGAACAACAGACUUCCUUCAAUCACUUCAUCUGUCCCAGAUGAAUAAUCAAGCCAGACUCCUUUGGGUGAUUACAAAUCUCUUGGGGUGUUUGGAAUCUUUAGGAAGGACUAGCACCUAUGGCUUCAGUGUUUUCAGAAACCUCUUCAGAGAUACUCAUCCACCUUUGGUGUCCACCUUUCACCCAACUCUCACUUGGGGCUCUGAGACCCUGUAGCAUAUAAAAAGCCACACCCCACUAAAACCAUAUUGACGGACCAGCUAAACCAGGAGGAGGGUGACCAACAGGCCUCUGACUCAUAAGUAACUUAAGGGGGUGUCUAUUUCAAGCAUGUGAAAACCUCUCCUGCCAGAAUGGGCAGUUGAGAACAGUUUAUUCAAAUAGCCAUGGAGUUGGCUGAAGUGGGUACUUUGGAGUGCUUAGAACUUGGUCAGACAUCAAAGAUGCUAAGGUCAUUUAUUGCCUCCUGGGCCACUGCCAGUCAUCAUAACUUUUGUCUUGCUGAAUUUGAAUGACUGGGAGAGAGAGGAAGGCUGAUUAUUCUGUGCAACUCUGCCUCACCUAAAUCUAAUUCAUGUGUAAGUCAAAAUAUUACCAAGGGAUGCCAUUGGUCCUCUUUGAAAAUGAAGAACAACUAAAACAAUACCCAGAUCUCUUCAAGAGGCUCUGCAGUAUUCCGUGGUUUGAUGAAAUCAGUACAACACCCAGAGGACCUCACUUUCCACAGGAAAACUCUCUUUGACCUGUACUCUGUGCUAGUUCUUCUCCAUUGUAAUAGUCAAUCUUUGGCAAGUAUAUACCUUCCAGUUUUAUGUUUUGUCAGAUAUUUCUUAUCAGAAUGUUACUGAAAAGUUUUAUUUCUUUCAUUACAUCUUCUAAGGAAAUGUGAAUGAUCUUAAUGUAUAUAUGGGGGACACUGGGUCUUUAAUGUAGCAUGUUGUUCAAUGAAUUGGAUGCUUCCCCCCCCCCUCAAAAUCCUUACUUUCCAUCUUGGAAUCAAUACUGUGUAUUAGUUCCAAGGCAGAAGAGUGGUAAGGGCUAGGUAAUGGGCAUAAAGUGACUUGCCCAAGAUCACAUAGUGUAUUAGGGAAUUGAUUUAAGGGUUAUGAUGAUUGAGAGAUCAGGUCUGUCACCCUCCUCCUUUUUGCUCCCUCCUCCCUUUUUCUCCUCCCUUCUCCCUCCCCCGCUCAUCAGUUGAUUUCUUCAGUUGGUGACACUGGAAGAUAACUCUGUGAGUUUUCUGAUAAGACUAAUAGGUAACUCUCUUUUGGAUGGUUUAAACAAGGGGGUUUAUUUAGGAAAAGGGGAAGGACAGGGAAAUUUGAUGGGAGAGAGGGUUUAGGGUUUCCCUAAUCUAAAAUACUCCUAAAUUGAAGAAUAAUAGAAUAGUCUUGAAUUGGAGAAUAUGGCUAACAGGUUGAGGAUUUUAGUCACUUUUUUCUUGUAGGGAGAAAUCAGUAAGAGAAGGAUCUUUCAGUCCUUACUCCUUCCUAUCUCAAGAGCAAGAGACCCCUCCUCACAGUUUGACUGUCCUGUCAUCAUUCCAUUCCAGAAUGCUUUUCUGAUUGACAGCUCUUCAGAUCUUACUCCUUCAGCUUUGUUGCAGGUCUUUCCAAUUCUCUCAUCCACAAUAGCUAGGAAGUAUCUGAGCUCAAAUUUGAACCCAGAACCUCCCAUCUCUGGGCCUGACUCUCAAUCCACUGAGCCACCCAGCUACCCCUGAACUGAAUGCUUUUUUUAAUGAUCAAAAGCCAGUAAGCACAAUGGAAUCUUAUAUUAAUGUCUUUCAGUUAAUUGUGAAAUGAUAAAGAUGUGGUCCAUUGUUGAAUAUUGCUUGUGAAGACUGCUUGUCCAUUACUUCUAAAGAUACUUUCAAUAUGUAUAGAUUACAAUAAAAAUUUGUAUUCCUGGGAGAACAGAUAUAUGCCUUUAAUUAUGAAUAUACUUUUGGUUUCCUUGUUUUCAGUACUAAUAAGAUCUGAACUUCCCCUUUCUCCCUUUCCAUUCCCUCCCCAUGUCUUUAGUAUCUUCUCCUUUAAAUAUUUUGAGCAUGGGGACAGCUAGGUGGCUCACUGGAUUGAGAGUCAAGACUAGAGACAGGAAAUCCUGGAUUCAAAUCUGGUCUCAGAAACUUCCUAGCUGUUUGACUCUGGGUAAGUCACUUAACCCCCAUUGUCUAGCCUUUAUCCCUCUUUUGCUUUGGAACCAAUAUAGAAUGUUGAUUCUAAGACAGAAGGGAAGAGUUUAAAAAUAUUUUGCACAUUGACCCCUUAAUACUAUCACAAUUGUGUUAUCCCCAGCAUGGGUCAUCUCUAUGUGCAUUUAUUCCAAUCUGGCUGCUUCUCCUGUCUUUGUUAUGCUUAGUGGUAUUUCUACCUCCUUUCUAUGAACAGAGACAGUGAUGUUAGAGUACAAAUGUGAUGGUUCCACUACUCUUGAUGUAGAAAACAGUUUGUUGAAACAGGUUGCGCAAAUCUUUUCCAUUUUUCUUUUGUUUGUAGUCCUUCUUCCAUUUUCAUCCUUGAAUGCCCUUGGGAUGACUUUGCUUAGUUGGACUUGCUGCCAAGCUGUCAUGGUUUUACCCUCCAAUGCUUCAUGUUGCUUUAUGAGACAAAAUCGUCCAUCAUGCUUCUUUGUGUGAUUUUAUAGACGAAUUCAUGUUCUAGCCCAGUGUUGCCUUUGGCAGCCUCCUCUUUUUGUUUGGCAAAUACAUUUGUUGUUUUCUACCUAAGGCACUUUGUGGACUCUUUUGUCUCUUUGUUGUGGCAAUUAAAUUAUAUUGUCUUACCUUCUGGAUGAAAUUAUCAUAAUUCUUCCUUAUAAGCCUUAAUUUAUAUACUUUAUUCCUUGAUAUUUACACUUAAUUCCUUCCUUAAUUCCUCUUAUGAACUAUUCUUGAUGUUUUUGAACUUCCUCUGUUGCCUUUGCAGGGGGCCUCGCAGAAUUUGCUAUUGUACUGCCUUUUCUAGCUAGCCCCUAAUCAUACUCUCACUUGAGACCUGAGUCCCCUGAAGGAUAGCUUGUUACCUUGAGUUGACAGAUACUCUGUGAGGCUGAAUAUUUCAAACUAUAGCUCAUGAUUGUCCUUGCCAUGAAUAGAUAGUACAAUUCAUAGCAAUGGUGUUUCUUAAGUGAGCAUAGUAAAAACAAUAGCUAUCAAAUGCUCCCUCUCUCAACAAAAGGAAUAUUAUUGCAUAGGGUCAAUGAUAAAUACAUAGGUUGGCAGAAACCUGGAGAACACUAGUAGUGAGGCACAUAGCAAUGGAAAAAAAAUGUGCUCAAGGCAACCCAAAUGCUUUCCUUUCUUGUAGUGAUUUCAUGCUGUUCAUUUGUAGGCCUGAUGUAGCUGCUGAGUGGAUCACUCCAACUGGGCCUAGAACUUUAUGUAUCUUGACUCCUGAAUACCAAGAUUAAUUUCCUCUUGCAUCUCAAAUUGGUUCUCUUCUCUGCUGCUGAGCGUCACACUUCUUAAAAUUGUCUCCCCUGAUAUCUCUCUCUAUCUCUGUUCCUAGCUGGAUGAUGCUUUCUCCUAGUUUUUUCCUGCACCUUUGCUACAAGAUGCUAUGAUGGAGAAGGGAAGGAAGAAGAGAGAUAAAUCACCUCCUGUCAUUUAUUUCCUUAUAGUAGAGGCAUACUAGGAAAGGCUCUUCACUGGAUUUCCAGGGGUCAUAUUUGAUAGUUGUUUCCUAUCUCAACCAGCUCUCAGAAUUGACAAGCUUUGAGGUCCACUAGAGGCCUGACCAAUCUUCAUUUAGCCAAUGACAAGCUGUCCUUUUAAUCUCAUAGAAGAACUCCUUCACAACUUCCAAAUGGUAACAGGGUAUAAACAUGUUUUUGCACUUCUCUUAACACAUUAACACCUCUUCUCUCUCUUAUCCAUUCCCCCUUCACGAUUUCAUUAACUGUACUGGGAGUGGAGGUGGGGAAUCAAUUGGUUAGGAACCAACCCUUCAAAUUCUGUGUGAUAUCUUUACCUUCUCCAGGGGAUUUUGACUCAGUUUCUUGGAUUAUAAAGCGGUUCCUUGAAAAGGAUCUUUUUUUGAGUGUUUUCUUAAUUUCUAUUUCCUCAGUCAGCUUUUGUCUGUCUUAAUCAAUCACUCUGCUCAUUUUACUAUGGUUUCCUUGCUAAAAAUGUGCUUACUUGCAAUCCUUUCCCUCCAGAAGGCCAAGAGUUUCUGUGCUUUCUUUCUGUCCUUUCCCUAUAUUUGCUGUCUAUAUACUCUUCUCUCAGAUCAUUAGGCGAUAGUGAGAGGUUAAUGUUCCACCAAGGGUGAAGGUAGCCUGUGGGGAUGCUACUGCAGGGAAACUUUGAGUAGUCCCUGUAAUUGGUCUUAUUCCCCAACCAGUCGAUCUCUACUGGACUCCACAGUCUACUCAGCAACUGAUUUUGUUCAGUUGCUAUACUGACCUUUAGGGUCUGGUUGUGAAGGGGCAUUUGUGGGUAGAUCCUCUCUUAUACUGUUGGGGAGAAUGGGUAGGAAGGUUUUUAUUAUCUUUUCUCCCUUCAUCACAUUCCUAUUGGGCUGUCUUAUUCUUCCUAUGCUACAUAAAGUCAUUUGAAGCAAUACUUACUAAUAAAUAAUCAUUUAUUUAUUGCUAGCCACUAUACUAGGCACUGAGGAUACAAAUAGAGAGACAUAAUCUCUCUUUGCAGACUUAGAUUCUAAUAGGGGAGAAAUAAAGUUCUUAUAACAAUAUAUACAGAAUAAAUAAAAAGUUAACAUAAAUGCUAUAUAGUUGAAUGUGUAGUAGUUUGGGAGAGAGCACAGUUAGAAGUCAGAAAAGUCUUUUUGAGGGGAUUCUCCUAGUGGUUCCAACUUUUGUUGCUGUUAAGCUGCCAUCUUGGCACUGCCUCCAAGGCUCUUUGUAGAAAGUGGCAUUUGAUAUUCUUCUUGAAGGAAGAGAGGGAUUCUGUGAGGCAGAGGGGAAGAAGGAAUGAUUCUAAGCUUCCCUCUAUUUCUUGCCUUCUUGCCACCCAUACUCUUAACUAGCUUUCUCUUAUUUUUGAAUCUUGGAGCUGGCCUGACUCAUGAGCCUCCCUGUUAGUGAUAUUUUACCACUUGAUUUGCAGAGGGAUAAACUUCUAGUGUUUAAAACUGUAACAGUCCUUUAGGUAGUUAGUAGGAAGCAGAAUUGGGGGAGGGAAGGCAGUCCAGAAGUCAUGGGGGUACUAGGAUCAAUGGGUUGUUAAUCAUUUUUCAUUUCUUUUUGGUACAAAUUUUCUUGUAUCAGUUUUUUUUCUGCACUACUUGUCAUUUCUAAGAUUUUUGCAUCUGAGGACUUGCUACUUGCAUUAUUUGGUAUGAUACAACUUAGUCCUGCCCUUUCCCCAGGAUUCCUUGAGAGAAUAUUUUAAGUAUUUUGAAUGUUGAAUAUUUUGGGCUGGGCAGAAAGGGAAGAUUGUUUUUUGGCAGGAGGGUAGAGAAGUCUAUUUUAGGGGCAGGGAGGGAUCCUUCCAUUAGUAGCCUUCUAAUACUAGCUCCUCAGUUUCCUACUAUUUUGAGGGCGGGUGCUACCUGCCUCUUCAGUUCUGCCUUUGUCCACCUCCUAACCAUUCUCCUUUUUGUCCUCAUAUGUAGAUCAGAUGAGGUGAUGUAAGAGAACAUGCUUUACAAAUGUCAGAUGUAAGCAAUGGUGUAAGAAUAGAAUAGAAUUUGUUCCCCAGCCCUCCCAACUUUCAGGUACUAAACAUUUGGAUAUCAAGGACCAUGUUCAGUGCAAAGAGGUUAGAGAAACCUCUUGGGGACCUCGAGUGGCAGGAAAUUCUUCUACCUAAGCACCAGUCAGUGAUUCAGUGUGAUCUCUACUCCAAACACAUGAAGACUUCUGACAGAAUGUGCAGAUAAGAACCCUUUGUUCCAAUGGCCCUGAAAGUAGCUGAAGCAAACACUGUGGAAUGCUUCCUAUGUGGUUAGAUCCUGAAGAUGCCAAGAAAAUUUGUUUCCAGUGAAGUUUUCUGAAUCGGAUUUUCAACUUCAUUGAUAUUCCUUAAGUAUAUUCCAGAAAGAACUCUGAUGGGAAGAAGACUGGCCUAGGAUUAAAAUCUUGUGGUGUGCUUGUCAUUACCAAAGCUCUUCUUGAGGCUCAGCAAGACCUUAUAGCAGAGGUUCUAGUUUUUUUCCUGCAUACCUCAUAUAGUCCAGGAACCAGUAAGCAUCCGCUGAUUGUAUCCUUUAGCCAAGGGGUAGAGCAAGUAUCGCAUUCUAGAUGGGUUUGGUGUUCAAGCCCAUCUUUAUAUGUGGUCUGAGGGAUGGCUUCCACGACAUGAGAUUUAGAGGCAGUAUCAAAGUCUUUCGACUUAAAACCAGUGCUCUUUCCACUAAACCCCCAAGAUAAGGUGAUUAAUUUGUUAAUAAUAUUUGAGAACUUUGCUUUGGAUCUCAAGGGUUCCUGUGGUAUCUUUUGACAGGUGAGAUUGCCAUGUAAAACACUCGUUUUGUCACAUCAGUAACUAAAGCCCUUUGGAUGUGAUUCAAGAAAGAUCUAUUUAAUAUCACUUCAUAUCCUGUCUACUCUAUGGUGGAUGCUAUCCAGUCCAAUCGAGUAAACAUUUUUAAGUGCCUAUACGUGUAGUUCUAUACUAUACAUGGGUUACAAUUAAUAAAAAGGUAGUCCCUGCUUUCAAGGAACUUUCUGUCUAAUUUUGGGGGGGGGAUUUCAGAAAAGGGGACAGGAAAGUGAGCAAGAAUGGGUGGCUUGGGACAUUACAGGGUACCUUGUUCUGUAGAAUUGAAAAAACCAGGCAGGGCAGCAGAUGCAGAAUAGAGGCAGCCCAAAGCUCCAGUUUCUGCUCUUUCUAAAUGAAGCAAUUGGGAAGAGUUUGGUGGGAUUCCUUUCAGCCCUCUAAUCAAAGAAGAGAAGAGGUGUAGGAAGGUGCAGGGCAUGAGGAAGCAUCAUCAUGAUGGCAUUAGAGUUGACCCAAGUGUAUAUGUGGUAUAUAACUCCACAAUUGCAUGCAAUUAAGGGAGAGAUAACUCCAAAUCUAAAAUAAGGGACAAUUUUUCUCCCUUUGUGGCAUAGUACAGUCAAAAGAAUUCUGUAUUUGGUAUCAAAUCUUUGUUCAAAUCCUGGCUUUGACAUCUGCUUUCUAUGUGAUUGAGGGCAAGUCAUUUAAAUCUUCUGAGCCUCAAAUUCUUCAAUUUGUAAAAAGCUGGGGGGUGGCGGGGGAUUGGGCUAGAUGCCCGCUAAAGUCCAUUCCAUGUCUAAAUCUAUGCUCAUGUAUGCUGAUUUUGCAGUUAAAAUAGGUUUUAGUUUGUUUUAUAAUUUCUGUGGGCCCAGAAGGAAAAACAGACGUCAUUGGGUGAAGGUGAAACCUUCUAGUUCAAUCAUCAGAGCACUACUGUCCUUGUUAAGCAACUUUAAAGCUUGGCGAAAAUAGAAUAGGUCAAGUUUGUCUCAAUUAAAACCAUUUCAGUAACUCCAGGGUUCCUAGAAAAGGAAAAUCGGGACCAGUCUUUGGGAUGUCACUGGGCUGUCUCUAUUCAUUCCCUACCAUGCACUUUAAAGCCAAAGAGAGAUCCUUAUGAGCCCUAAAGUUAAAGAAGCAAAGCUUGUGGUUGAUAACUUUUUCAUAUUUGCCUAAAAAGAGAACAGUAAAAUGUAGGAAGAAAUACAUUUGUAUUUCCCUUCAAAGUAUGAAAAAGGGAAAUGGAUUGAAACAACCUUGUGAUUCUGACCCUGUAUGAUAGAAGGGACAUUGGAUUGGAUCUCAAAGGCUAGAAUAUAAAGGACUGUGAAUAACAUAGCAUUCUCAUUAGGGUCAUUUUGACAACUGUUGUUUUAAACAACAUUUCAGCCAGCAAAUAACCUGUUGAGAUGCUCUCACAUUUUUAGAAGCAUCCCAGGGAGAAGCAUAUGACAAGCUGCAGUGCACAUGGUGGUGUGAGAGAUAAAGUUCAUCUAUCUAAAAUAUUUAAAAUUAAGCCAUUCAUCAUAACAGCUGCAUACUGGCUUCAAGUGAUCAGCCACUAAUGAUUUUGAAAUUCUGAGCUAAAAAGAAAAAAUCUUAGCUAGUGUCUUUUUUUUUUAAAGUGGUAAGGAUAAUCUUGACUCUGCUAGUGAGGGAAAGUCCAAAGUUCAUGUGCAUGUUGAUAUGAAAUAAUGUUAGGGCUUUCUCCCCGACUUGGAAUUGAGUUUUAUAGUUCUGAGGUACUUAAUCUUUUUCCAAAUAACUAAUAAUUAGUGCUCUGAGAUUCAACAGGAUAAACGAGGCUUUUUUGACACUAGAUUGACCCAGAAGAAUUACUUGUGCUUUUAUUUUGUCUUUAGGGGAGCACCCAAGAAUGAGAAAAUUUUGGGGAAGGUGACCUUCCAGACGCCAUUUUAUACUAACUUUUCUGUAUUCUUUACUUAAAUUGUUUUUUUUUUUAACUUCACUUUUCAAGCUACCAUUUAUAUUGGUAGAUUUUUUUAAAGGAAAGAAUGAGUUAUUUCCUGCCUUAAUGUCCUAUGAAUAAUAUUCAGACAGUCUAGCUAAUUGGGUUUUACAUACUGAAUACGCCAUUAAUGAUUUCUGAAGGACUUUACCAUUCCAUAUGGACAUUAGUCAAUUACUAUUAAGCGAGGAGCUUAAUUUUCAUUCUAAGGGGAACAUUCCUAAGGAGUUUCCCUAAAUUUAGUUUUAAUCAUCCCAUUUUGUAUAUUUUGAAAUAGUAGUAGUACUAGUAAUAGUAGUAGUAUUAAUAAUAAUUCCAUGUAUUUACAUAGCCCUUUGCCGAUUACAAAUUAUUUUAUAUACUUCAAAGUCCUGUGAGAUAGAAAGGGUAGUUUUAUCAUCCCCAUUUUACAGAUUAGGAAAACAUGGCUAAAUAACUUGCCAAUGAUCACAAAAUUAUCAAGUUGUAAGGCCAGAAUUCAAGUCAAGGCUUUGUGUUUUCUCUUCAUUCUACCAUACUCUGACUGCUGCUUUGACAAUUUGUCAUAUCUUUAAGGCUUCAAUUUCCUCAUCUGAAAAAUGGUGUGUGUGUGUGUAUGAGUGUGUGUGUGUGUGUGUGUGUGUGUGUGUGUGUGUGUGUGUGUAGUUUGGGUUAGAUAAUCCCUCCAGUUACUUCUAGUUAUAAAACUGUUUCCCUUAUUCUACAACCCCACUACUCUUUAUUCAAGACCCAGACUUUUAUUGGUGUCAUCUUAGAGUUCAUAAAUGACCUUGAAUGGCAACAGAAGAAAACUGACAGGAAUUCCUGUAAUACUAUCAGAAUCAAAUUGGUCCAACCCAACUGACAACUAUUAGGUGCCUCCUAAGUGCAAAAAUACAAAGAUGAAAACAAAAGUGUCUGCCCUCAGGGAUCAUACAUCUGAGCCCUUGAGCCAUUAAAAAUGUAAUAUCCCCAAAGCUAUAUUGAGAAAUAGAAACUGAUCACUAUUUAUAAGUUUUUUUUAGUAUAUGUAUAUAUUAACAUAAUUUAUUUACAAAUGUAAAUUUAUUUAUAGCCCUCAUUCCCUGUAACAUAGAAGACUUUAUCUUAGAGACAGAUAUGUAUAUAUAAAUUAUGUCUUUCUUGUUUCCAUUUAUCAGUUCAUUCUCUGGAGGUAACAUUUACUAUUUAGUCAAGUAUUAAAUCUGUUACUGUGCAUGUCUUCUUGGUUCUAUUCAUUUCUCUAUUCAUUAUCCCAUGUAGUUCAUUCCAAGUUUUUUUUUUUUUAAUUAGGUUGCUCAUUAUUUCUUAUGGCAGAAUAGUAUUCCAUCACAAUCAUAUACCAUCAUUUGUUUAGCCAUUCUCCAAUUGAUGGUCAUCCUCUCCACUUCCAGUUCUUUGCCACCACAAAGAGAAUUGCUAUAAAUAUUUUGUAACAUAUAGGUCCCCCCGGUCCCCCUGCUCUUUCCCUGAUCUCCUUGGGAAUCUCCUUGGUAUUGUUGGGUUUAAGGGUAUAUACAGUUUUAUAAUUCUCUGGGUAAAAUUCCAAAUUGCUCUCCAAAAAGGUUGAAUCAAUUCAUUGCACCACCAACAAUGUAUUAGUGUCACCAUUUUUCCACAUCCCUUCCAACAUUUGUUAUUUUGCCCUUUUGUCAUAUUAGCCAAUCUGAUGAGUCUGUAAGAAUUUGCUAACAGGUAGAUCUAAUGGUGCUUAGAAUUCACAUAUAGUCUUUUUUAUAGGAUAGUGAACUUUAGCUUUCUUUGGGAGACCUCUAGCUUUCUUUAUUCAUCAACAAUUGUAUCUAGCCACCCACCUCCCAGAUAACAGACUAACUCUAGAUUGUUUAUAUUAUGAACUCUAAAGGAUACAUCCAUAUUGGACUGACUGCUAUAGCUCCCUGGCUAAUAGCAGUUCUAUGAUGCUGCUCCUGGUGGUCUUUCUGCUUGUACCAUUGGAAUUCUUCAGUCUGCUAUAUUUUCAGUUUCUUACUUCAGUGAGUCAUACAUAAUCUACUACUUUGAGACCUCUGGGCACUUUGGACCCAGCUCAGCAAUGCUACAAUGGAUCUGUCCUUUAAUCUUUUUAUAUGUUAUGUUCUCUGAUAGAAUAUAUAGGUUCCUUGAGAAUGAAAGUCAUUGCAUUCCCAAUGGCUUAAGGGCUCAGAUCUAUUCUAUAUCUAAUAUUUUAUGUUUGUCCUUUAGAAGGCUUGCCUCAGAAAGUUAGGAACGAAUUCCAAGUAUCCCUACUUUCUCUCUAUCCUUGCCAAAUUUAUAUGGCAGUCAGACAGUGAGGCGGAUAGAACUCUCUGUCUAUAGUUAGGAAGACCUGAGUUCAAAAUUAGCCUCAGACACUUACUAGUGAUAUGACUCUCAGCAAGUCACUUAAUCCUGUUUGCCUCAAGUGCCUCAUUUGUAAAAUGAACUGGAAAAGGAAAUGGCAAACCACUUCACUAUCUUUGCUAAUAAGGCUCCAAAUGAUGUUAUGAAGAGUUGGAUAUAACAGAAAAACAGAAAAAAAUCCAAAUUUUGAUGCCUAACAUUGGUAUGGAAUUAGAAACUAAUUCAAGCAAAGCAAACUUGUAAAAUGACUAUCACAAGCAGAAGUAUAACUAACAGUGCAGUCACUUUGGUAGCAAUGUGUCAAAAAGAAAAAAAGUCAGGAGAGAGCCAUAUAAUGCUUUUUAUGGAAGAAAAUUCAUUUUUACUUAUUUUCCUUUUUUAAGAAAACUAAUUUAUUUAUUUAGAAUAUUUUUCCAUGGCUCCAUGAUUUUUGAUUUCCUCACCACUCUUUACCCCCCUCCUGGAGCUGACAAGCCAUUCCACUGGGUUAUACAUGUAUCAUUGUUCAAAACCCAUUUCCAUGUUAUUCAUAUUUGCAGUAGAGUGAUCUUUUAAUGCCAAAUCCCCAACUAUAUCCCCAUUGAACCACUUGAUCAAUCAGAUGUUUUUCUUCUGGGUUUCUGUUCCCACAGUUCUUUCUCUGGAUGUGGAUAAUGUUCUUUCUCUUAAGUCCCUCAGAAUUACUCUGGGUCAUUGUAUUGCUACUGGUAUAGAAGUCUAUUACAUUUGACUGUGCUAUAAGGUUUCAGUCUCUGUGUACAAUGUUCUCUUGGUUCUGCUUAUUUCACUCAGCAUUAAUUCCUGGAGGUUGUUCCAGUUCACAUGGAAUUCCUUCAGUUCAUUAUUCCUUCUAGCACAAUAGUAUUCCAACACCAACAGAUACCACAAUUUGUUCAGCCAUUCCCCAACUGAAGGGCAUCCCCUCAUUUUCCAUUUUUUCCCACCACAAAGAGUGCAGCUAUAAAUAUUUUUGUACAAGUAUUUUCCCUUAUUAUCUCUUUGGGGUACAAAUCUAGCAGUGGUAUGGCUGGAUCAAAGGACUUGCAUUUUUUUAAAGUCCUUUGUGCAUAGUUCCAAAUUGCCCUCCGUAAUGUUUGGAUUAAUUUACAACUUCACCAGCAUCUAAUGGAAUGUCUCAGUAUUUGUCAAAUAUUUGCUUAUCUAUCAAUUGAUCACCAAAUUUAUCUAUUAUAAAUAAAUAUGUAAUCUGUAUUAUCUCUAGGGCUAACAACAUGUAGACAUUUAUUACCCACUUUUGCAAAAAUGGCAUUUCCUUUUAUUAUUCUCAAAUUGCCUUCCAGUUUGAAGAGGGGUUCUUUAAUUCCAGGCUUCCAGAGUUUUGAGCCACUCUAUGUUCAUCUUUAGCCUUUGUGAUUUUGACCAUGUCUCAUCUUUUCAAAACAAAGAAUCCUAAUAUUUUUUAAUCUGUCUUCAAAAUUUCCCGUAUUAUUUUAAUGGCACUUCUUUGGGCCUUCUACAUCACCAUCAUACCCUGCUUUAGAGAGAGAGCAACCAGCAUUGCCCAUGGUCUUCCAAGGGUUUUACACACCAAAAAUCAUGACAUCCAAGGGUAAAAAGCUUCAUUUGCCCUUAUAAGACUCCAGAAGGAUCUUUUAAGGAAAGAUAAUAACCUGAAGUGAAUUCUGAAACACAUAAUAUCCCAUGUAAGAGGCAGCAAACUUUUCCCUGGGGUCACAUAGUGUACUGCCAUUACAAGAGACUGAUUUUAGAUUCUGAAACCCCUGGAUCUUAGGAAAGAAUGGAAUCACUGCUGUGAGUCCACAUAGCUAGCUAGUGAAAGUCUCUUGAUGCAUGCUUUUAUUCCAAUUGUGAGGAUCUCAUUUAUUUGAAGCAUCAGGGGGAAGGAAAAAAAACACCUGAGACUUUUGAUACACUUGUGAAAUACAGAUAUGAGAAGAAACAUUGUUGGGAUCAAUCAGAAUCAGCUGGUCACCUGGCUGGAGGGAGAUGGUGAUGAGGUGAAUAGUGAAGACUUUGAAUAUUCUCCCUUGAAUAAAGCUCUUUCCUUCCCUGGGGUUUGGACAAGGAUGAAUGAAAUCUGCUCCUGUUUGUACUGACAUCAAGUCCCCAAAGUGAAUGGCUUCUUCUGCAGCAGGGAGGGGGGUUCUGCUUUUCCUUUUCAAUAAGAGCUUUUGUGAUGCUCAGUUUAGAAUCUCUUGACCUGCCGUUCCCACCACCCCCUUGAAACUAUUGUCAACACAGGAUGUUGGGGGCAAACCUUGGAUAGGUAUGCUUCUAUUUGGCAAAAUGGCAAUAGUUCUAAAUCAGAUUUUCCCCUUUCUUUCCAUCUCCUAAACCCCAAAAGAUAUAUCCAAAGCGUUGCUUAACUAAGAGAUUUCUGAUGAGGAUUAGCAAUGAUCACUUGCCUGAUGCUACAGAUUAAUAAGGGACGAAACAAAAUAAAUAUAUAUUUUGUGUUUCUACCUAAGUUACAUUGUGGUGUUCAACAUAUUUUAAGAAGUGCAUUGGGACAUAUUCUAGGUAGAAAGAAUGGGAAGGGAGAGAAGGGAAGAUAACCCUAUUCUAAGAGAGAAAUAAUCCUUUUCAAGGACAUUUGCUAGGGCUUUUCUUUAAGGGGAGUGUUGUCCAAGUGUAUACUCAUAAAGUUCUCUUAUGUGAUAUAGGGACAAUAGAAUUUGAAAAGAUAUCAACAUGUUCUUGUGUUAUGAAUGUAGGGGCUGGGAUAACUGUGUGUUUCUUCACCAUGAGGUAGGGCAUUUUCUUCUACUGAUUACAAGUUAGCUCUUCUGAAUUAUGUCAUCAAAUUAUGAACCUGAUGGGGCAUGGUAGCAUCACAAGAUCUUUGAGGUAGAAGAGAUCUCAGAAGUUAUUUAGUUCAACCCAUUCUUGCAAUAUGAAUCCUCUCCAGAGUAAGUUCAACAAGCAGACAUUCAGUCUCUCCUUGAAGACCAUUAGUGAUAGCUAAGUAACCCCCAAAAUAGACUAUUACAUUUUUGUACACAUCUAGUUGUUUGGAAAAUAUCCCUCACAUUGAACUGAAAUUUACUUUUACACAUUAACCAAUACUUAUUGAAUUCUGCAGUAUUAUCACCAAGUUCAUUAUCUUGCUAUCUUGUUCACAAGGUCAGAUGUCCUUCUAAAGUUGAGGUAUUGCAUGUCUAGGGCAUUUACAUGAUUCAGUGGUUCUCAA